RNAcentral lists this ribosomal RNA (468 nucleotides) under uncultured bacterium. Its description in RNAcentral is "partial 16S ribosomal RNA". It matches the Rfam family "Bacterial small subunit ribosomal RNA", at positions 28 to 507 of the family's 1533-position model. The record is from RNAcentral.
GACGAACGCUGGCGGCGUGCUUAACACAUGCAAGUCGAACGGAAAGGCCCUGCUUUCGUGGGGUGCUCGAGUGGCGAACGGGUGAGUAACACGUGAGUAACCUGCCCUUGACUUUGGGAUAACUUCAGGAAACUGGGGCUAAUACCGGAUAGGAGCUCCUGCUGCAUGGUGGGGGUUGGAAAGUUUCGGCGGUUGGGGAUGGACUCGCGGCUUAUCAGCUUGUUGGUGGGGUAGUGGCUUACCAAGGCUUUGACGGGUAGCCGGCCUGGGAGGGUGACCGGCCACAUUGGGACUGAGGUACGGCCCAGACUCCUACGGGAGGCAGCAGUGGGGAAUAUUGCACAAUGGGCGGAAGCCUGAUGCAGCAACGCCGCGGGCGGGAUGACGGCCUUCGGGUUGUAAACCGCUUUCGCCUGUGACGAAGCGUGAGUGACGGUAAUGGGUAAAGAAGCACCGGCUAACUACGUG